This 29-nucleotide non-coding RNA is filed under the name Homo sapiens (human). The record is from RNAcentral. Lineage: Eukaryota; Metazoa; Chordata; Mammalia; Primates; Hominidae.
UCCGCAUCCACGCGCACUUCACUGGGCUC